Molecule: ribosomal RNA, 497 nt
Filed under: uncultured bacterium
Lineage: Bacteria
Description: partial 16S ribosomal RNA
Rfam family: Bacterial small subunit ribosomal RNA
Source: RNAcentral
AGUGAACGCUGGCGGUAGGCCUAAUACAUGCAAGUCGAACGGCAGCACAGUAAGAGCUUGCCCUUAAGGGUGGCGACUGGCGGACGGGUGAGGCAUGGAUCGGAAACCUAUAUUACUGGGGGGAUAACGUAGAGAAACUUACGCUAACACCUCAUAUUAUGUACGGGAGAAAUCAGGGGAUCAUCGGACCUUUCGUGUUUCUAAGAGCUGGUGCCGGGUUACAUUAGCUAGUUGGUAAGGUAACGGCAUACCAAGGAAACGAUGCAUAGCCGACCUGAGAGGAUGAUCGGCCACACUGGAACUGAGACACGGUCCAGACUCCUACGGGAGGCAGCAGUAGGGAAUAUUGCACAAUGGGCGCAAGCCUGAUGCAGCCAUGCCGCGUGGGUGAAGAAGGCCUUCGGGUUGUAAAACCCUGUUGUUAGGAAAGAAAAUCAGCAGGUGUAUACCCCGAUGUUCUGACGGUACCCAAAGAGUAAGCACCGGCUAACUUCGUG